GCAGACACAUUACAGCCAAUCAGCAGCAGACCCUCCCUCCCAGACCCUCCCACCUCCUGGACAGCAUCCAUUUUACAUUCAUUGUGAAGCUGCAUUCUUAGUGAGCUGUCCAGGAGGUGGGAGGGUCUGGGAGGGAGGGUCUGCUGCUGAUUGGCUGGAAUGUGUCU
Molecule: microRNA precursor, 167 nt
Filed under: Pelobates cultripes (western spadefoot toad)
Lineage: Eukaryota; Metazoa; Chordata; Amphibia; Anura; Pelobatidae
Source: RNAcentral